AGAGAGGACUGGGGCAGGAGUUGUGUAAAAGGGGCUGAAGUCCUGCGCUGCGUCCUCCACUGCUGCUGCGCUGCAAAGAAAAGUAGGCUCACCACCAGCUCCACCACCAGAUAUAUAAAUGCUGCCAAACCGUUUUAUAUCGCGGAUGUGAAACAAACAAACAGUCAACGACACGCCCUGCUGAAGGUCCAGGACUCCGCCGGAGCAAUGGGCGAGGCAGCCUGAACUCCGCUGGACCGUCCAGAUGGGUUGGCCGCGCAGGAGCGACCCGGCCGGUGGUCAAGGAACAUGUGCACCUAAAGCAGACGAAGGAAGGAGUCACUAUUUGUGCCUUUAAAGCGGGCCGUCCGUCACUCCAGGCUGUCUAGUUUGUACUCUCACGCUCUCUGGCUGACUCCCAGCAGUCCCUCACCCUUGGCCCCAAAUGGCUGACACACAGCAGUUCUUCACUGGCAAGCUUUAUGUUCCUGUACACAUGCUAAAGCUGCCAGCUGAAGAACUGCUCUGGUCAGCCCUGCCCCGGAUGACUCAAGAAGAGGAAGCGGACGAGGGUUGCUGGGAAGAGGACUAAGGAAGGCGGUGUUUCACACGCUCAGCAGUCAGGCUGGACUUUAAUAAACCGGACAGAUUUGAGCCCCCAUUGUUUAUGUUCCUGUGUUAAUCACAUGUAAGCUUUAUUUCACUUCAGUCAAUACAGAAUGUUUAUUUUGUGGUCCACAAUAACCUGCUUAUAGUUUGUCUAUGAUGUGCUUUUCGCUCACAUUAAAGAACAAAAUAUUUUCUCAGACUGCUGCGUUAUUGUUGUGGACAAAACUGGACACUGUGGACAAUAAAAGACAUUCCAGCACCGAAGGCUCUCCUGUCCAAAAAUAACAACACGCACACAAAGAGGCACACAAUAGAUGUAUGCAAAAAUGUAUCACACUCAUCCCUUUUAACUUUCAAGUCCCUGGUGAUCCCAUUAAAGGGGAGCGAGAAAGAUCAGAGUAAAUUGAGAUGCUCUUUAAAUGUAAAACUGUCCUCAGAUAUGCAAUAACUCCUGAGAGUGGUGUUUGUUCUCACAUUAACGAGUCAACAAGAUGACAUUUAGUCAGGAGAACUGCGUGAAUCCAGUUAGAUCGUUAAGAUGUGAAUCCAGAGGGUGAAAAAAUAACACCCAGUGUCUGCUCCAAGGAUUCCUUCAUGGACUACAAACUUUUAGAGACUGAGGAGAGGGUAAGAUAACCCACUGUAUGUAAAAUAAUCUGUAUAAUAAAAUAAUACACACUGCAGUGCUUGUUAUGUUAUAAUCUUGUAAGUAGGUUAAACUCUUACUUUAUUACUGUAUGCUGCAUUAGUUUAAUAAAGGAAACUUUUUUA
Molecule: long non-coding RNA, 1359 nt
Organism: Epinephelus lanceolatus (giant grouper)
Lineage: Eukaryota; Metazoa; Chordata; Actinopteri; Perciformes; Serranidae
Source: RefSeq, a predicted model, not a curated record